RNAcentral lists this unclassified non-coding RNA (683 nucleotides) under Saccharomyces cerevisiae (brewer's yeast). Its description in RNAcentral is "sequence contains 18S rRNA gene, ITS1, 5.8S rRNA gene, ITS2, 28S rRNA gene". The stretch from base 371 to 524 matches the Rfam family "5.8S ribosomal RNA". Lineage: Eukaryota; Fungi; Ascomycota; Saccharomycetes; Saccharomycetales; Saccharomycetaceae. The record is from RNAcentral.
GAUCAUUAAAGAAAUUUAAUAAUUUUGAAAAUGGAUUUUUUUGUUUUGGCAAGAGCAUGAGAGCUUUUACUGGGCAAGAAGACAGGAGAUGGAGAGUCCAGCCGGGCCUGCGCUUAAGUGCGCGGUCUUGCUAGGCUUGUAAGUUUCUUUCUUGCUAUUCCAAACGGUGAGAGAUUUCUGUGCUUUUGUUAUAGGACAAUUAAAACCGUUUCAAUACAACACACUGUGGAGUUUUCAUAUCUUUGCAACUUUUUCUUUGGGCAUUCGAGCAAUCGGGGCCCAGAGGUAACAAACACAAACAAUUUUAUCUAUUCAUUAAAUUUUUGUCAAAAACAAGAAUUUUCGUAACUGGAAAUUUUAAAAUAUUAAAAACUUUCAACAACGGAUCUCUUGGUUCUCGCAUCGAUGAAGAACGCAGCGAAAUGCGAUACGUAAUGUGAAUUGCAGAAUUCCGUGAAUCAUCGAAUCUUUGAACGCACAUUGCGCCCCUUGGUAUUCCAGGGGGCAUGCCUGUUUGAGCGUCAUUUCCUUCUCAAACAUUCUGUUUGGUAGUGAGUGAUACUCUUUGGAGUUAACUUGAAAUUGCUGGCCUUUUCAUUGGAUGUUUUUUUUCCAAAGAGAGGUUUCUCUGCGUGCUUGAGGUAUAAUGCAAGUACGGUCGUUUUAGGUUUUACCAACUGCGG